RNAcentral lists this ribosomal RNA (471 nucleotides) under uncultured bacterium. RNAcentral's name for it is "bacterial SSU rRNA". It matches the Rfam family "Bacterial small subunit ribosomal RNA", at positions 1 to 522 of the family's 1533-position model. The record is from RNAcentral.
UAGAGUUUGAUCCUGGCUCAGAGCGAACGCUGGCGGCAGGCUUAACACAUGCGAGUCGAACGCUCGUAGCAAUACGGGAGUGGCAGACGGGUGAGUAACACGUGGGAACGUGCCCUUCGGUUCGGAAUAACGAUGGGAAACUGUCAGUAAUACCGGAUAAGCCCUUCGGGGGAAAGAUUCAUCGCCAAAAGAGCAGCCCGCGUUAGAUUAGGUAGUUGGUAGGGUAAAAGCCUACCAAGCCGACGAUCUAUAGCUGGUCUGAGAGGAUGAUCAGCCACACUGGGACUGAGACACGGCCCAGACUCCUACGGGAGGCAGCAGUGGGGAAUAUUGGACAAUGGGGGAAACCCUGAUCCAGCAAUGCCGCGUGAGUGAUGAAGGCCUUCGGGUUGUAAAGCUCUUUUGUCAGGGACGAUGAUGACGGUACCUGACGAAUAAGCUCCGGCUAACUUCGUGCCAGCAGCCGCGGUA